This 460-nucleotide ribosomal RNA is filed under the name uncultured bacterium. Its description in RNAcentral is "partial 16S ribosomal RNA". It matches the Rfam family "Bacterial small subunit ribosomal RNA", at positions 338 to 795 of the family's 1533-position model. The record is from RNAcentral.
CCUACGGGUGGCAGCAGUGAGGAAUAUUGGUCAAUGGACGAGAGUCUGAACCAGCCAAGUAGCGUGAAGGAUGACUGCCCUAUGGGUUGUAAACUUCUUUUAUAAAGGAAUAAAACGAGGCACGUGUGCCUUUUUGCAUGUACUUUAUGAAUAAGGAUCGGCUAACUCCGUGCCAGCAGCCGCGGUAAUACGGAGGAUCCGAGCGUUAUCCGGAUUUAUUGGGUUUAAAGGGAGCGUAGAUGGGUUGUUAAGUCAGUUGUGAAAGUUUGCGGCUCAACCGUAAAAUUGCAAUUGAUACUGGCAGUCGUGAGUACAGUUUAGGUAGGCGGAAGUCGUGGUGUAGCGGUGAAAUGCUUAGAUAUCACGAAGAACCCCGAUUGCGAAGGCAGCUUACUAAACUGUGACUGACAUUGAUGCUCGAAAGUGUGGGUAUCAAACAGGAUUAGAUACCCGGGUAGUC